CCCAACUCCUGGCAACCACUAAUCUACUUUGUUUCUAUGGAUUUGACUAUUAUGAACAUUUCACAUAAAUAGAAUCUAACAAUGGAAUGUUAGAUUGUGUCUGGCUUCUUUCACUUAGCACAGUAUAUACAAGGUUCACUUAUGUUGUAAACAUGUAUCACUGCUCUCCUUUGUAUUGCCAAAUAAUAUUCCAUUGUGGAGAUGUACCGUAUUAUUUAUCCAUUCAUCAGUUGAAAUGAACAAGUUUCCCACCUUGGAAAAUCUUCACCUAACCCUUCCUAAGUCCUCUACAGCAACAGCUCUGUUUCUUAGCCAAGACUGUGGAAUGAGAGGAAACGUCUAGAAUUAGUGAAAUCCAGAAUCUGAGUGGCAGAGGGCUCUACACCUAGUAGUUACACUAAAUUUUGUAGUUUGUUCCUGAGACAGAGAGAGAUCAACAGUGAUCACACUAAGAUCCCAAUGCAGAAGGAGCAUUCACCUGAUGAUCUGAGGACAAGAGUCGUGUCUCCUAAGAAAAAGGAUACAGCUGUUUCCAUCUGUAAGUGGGGCACUGCUCUACAAGUUGACAACACUACUGUUCACACAGCCAAUUAAAAUUCUUUCCACACUGCUAAUGAAGAGUUCCAGUUGCAGAGUUUUUAAAUUCGGCUAAUUAAAACAAAAAAAAAAAAAAAAAGGAGCAAAACUAUUUAAGCCACAAGUAAGUACCUGACAAAAGAGCAAAAAAAAACACAGAAA
Acinonyx jubatus (cheetah) is the source of this 738-nucleotide long non-coding RNA. RefSeq lists it as uncharacterized. The record is from RefSeq and is a predicted model, not a curated record. The transcript has 4 exons. Lineage: Eukaryota; Metazoa; Chordata; Mammalia; Carnivora; Felidae.